UACGGGGGGGGCAAGCGUUGUUCGGAAUUACUGGGCGUAAAGGGCUCGUAGGCGGCCAACUAAGUCGGACGUGAAAUCCCCAGGCUCAACCUGGGAACUGCGUCCGAUACUGGCAGGCUUGAAUCCGGGAGAGGGAUGCGGAAUUCCAGGUGUAGCGGUGAAAUGCGUAGAUAUCUGGAGGAACACCGGUGGCGAAGGCGGCAUCCUGGACCGGUAUUGACGCUGAGGCGCGAAAGCCAGGGGAGCAAACGGG
Molecule: ribosomal RNA, 253 nt
Filed under: uncultured bacterium
Lineage: Bacteria
Description: partial 16S ribosomal RNA
Rfam family: Bacterial small subunit ribosomal RNA
Source: RNAcentral